This is a regulatory RNA element of Geobacter sp., 83 nucleotides long. It matches the Rfam family "pan motif". NCBI's taxonomy places the organism in Bacteria, Pseudomonadati, Thermodesulfobacteriota, Desulfuromonadia, Geobacterales, Geobacteraceae. The record is from Rfam.
GGGCCGUAACAUUUGUGCGGAUCCGACAAAUCUCCUCUGACAACGAACAUACCGCCAGGAUUCAACAGAACCGGGACGGGAGG